RNAcentral lists this ribosomal RNA (466 nucleotides) under uncultured bacterium. RNAcentral's name for it is "partial 16S ribosomal RNA". It matches the Rfam family "Bacterial small subunit ribosomal RNA", at positions 28 to 507 of the family's 1533-position model. The record is from RNAcentral.
GAUGAACGCUGGCGGCGUGCUUAACACAUGCAAGUCGAACGGAAAGGCUCCUGCUUGCAGGGGUACUCGAGUGGCGAACGGGUGAGUAACACGUGGGUGAUCUGCCCUGCACUUCGGGAUAAGCUUGGGAAACUGGGUCUAAUACCGGAUAGGACCGCAUUUUGGAUGGUGUGGUGGAAAGUUUUUUCGGUGUGGGAUGAGCUCGCGGCCUAUCAGCUUGUUGGUGGGGUAAUGGCCUACCAAGGCGUCGACGGGUAGCCGGCCUGAGAGGGUGUACGGCCACAUUGGGACUGAGAUACGGCGCAGACUCCUACGGGAGGCAGCAGUGGGGAAUAUUGCACAAUGGGCGCAAGCCUGAUGCAGCGACGCCGCGUGGGGGAUGACGGCCUUCGGGUUGUAAACUCCUUUCGCUAGGGACGAAGAGUAAUUGACGGUACCUGGAGAAGAAGCACCGGCUAACUACGUG